CUUCCUUGUGUAGAUAUUCUAUUAGAUGUGUUUUUAUAACCCAAUCUUAGAUAAGAAUAAGAAAAGAAACUUGUGCAAUUUUUCAUAACUGUUUAUGUCAGGCAUAAGACAGUAUUUUGUUCUGCUCCAUUUCUCUGUCUGCCAGGUCACAAGGCUGACAGAAGUUGUGAAAUCCAGUUUCUUAUGUUCUAUAAUAUGGGAUGUAAUGGAUAAAAGCAGGUAUUAAGUAUUUCAAUGCAGAGUUUUAGCACUUCAAUAGAUAAAAUGCUACCCGAGCAACAUUAACUAUUUGAUUAGAAUGUGGCCCUUCUUGUAAACUUUCCUGCAUGUUUGCCAAAAACAAAAUAAUUGAUAGAUGGAGAAUAGGGAAAUUCAUUUCAUAAACUUACAUACUAAAAUUUGACUAAAGUGUGGUCCUUCUUUCAAACUCUCCAGCAUGUUAACCGCAUGCAGUCUUCGGCAGCUAGGUGUUUACCAGUAGUAGUGAACGAGUGAUAUGAAUUUGGGGAUUCCCGAAUUGUACAAGGCUAGGGUAGGGUUACAUUGUAUUUAUAUUGACAAGUGCUUCUGCUUUCAUUUUAAAUAUUAUUUCUUGUAAAAUAAUUGCAAUUAAAAGGAUUUGUAUUGGUAAAAUCCACAAAAGCAAAUAAUAUUAUUAUAUCGUGAAACAGCAAAAAAGCUUGUAUCAAGUCAAAAUAACAGACGGGGAGACUUGGCCCUCGUUUGUGCUAAGCCACACUUGCCAAAAUGUGUUUCACUUAUUCAUUGUCUAAUCCAUCAUUAAUUGUAAGCUUCCUUGUGUAGAUAUUCUAUUAGAUGUGUUUUUAUAACCCAAUCUUAGAUAAGAAUAAGAAAAGAAACUUGUGCAAUUUUUCAUAACUGUUUAUGUCAGGCAUAAGACAGUAUUUUGUUCUGCUCCAUUUCUCUGUCUGCCAGGUCACAAGGCUGACAGAAGUUGUGAAAUCCAGUUUCUUAUGUUCUAUAAUAUGGGAUGUAAUGGAUAAAAGCAGGUAUUAAGUAUUUCAAUGCAGAGUUUUAGCACUUCAAUAGAUAAAAUGCUACCCGAGCAACAUUAACUAUUUGAUUAGAAUGUGGCCCUUCUUGUAAACUUUCCUGCAUGUUUGCCAAAAACAAAAUAAUUGAUAGAUGGAGAAUA
RNAcentral lists this long non-coding RNA (1156 nucleotides) under Lotus japonicus. Its description in RNAcentral is "long non-coding RNA (LJAP_LNC000820)". The record is from RNAcentral. Lineage: Eukaryota; Viridiplantae; Streptophyta; Magnoliopsida; Fabales; Fabaceae.